UCAGGGAUUCCGAUAAAGGACCUGUUCCUGGAAAAGGACUACCUCCAGAGAGAUUUGCCAGAAAUGUGGGCUCGGUGUGGCGAGGGGAAAUACGCCUCAGCUCAUUGGAUGGGGAUAGGGGGAGGCCUGCCUUCAGGUUCAGACCCAGGGCAGGAGUUCGAGGACUGCCCUCCUGCUGAUUUGAAUAAGCACCGGAACCGGAUACCGAGGAGGAGAGGCUACUCAAGAAAGAGGAAGAGGCGGGCUUUUCCGACCCCCACGCCCCUGAGAUGAUAAAGCUGCAGCCCACCUCGUCCUGGGGCAGAGCCUCCUUGCCUGCCCGCUUGCAUCUCUCACCAGCGUCCUAUCCUAACACCUCUGUUUCGUGCCCAUCACUUUGUCUCUCGCUGAAUUCCUUCUGCGUGGAGACAUAGAGAACCUCAACCUCAGUGAGUCCAGACACAGGAGGAGAGCGUUUCCCAGAUUCCUUGUCCCUGAGUGAGGAUACGUGCCUGGUUCUGGCCAAGGGGCUGUGGCUGAUACAGCAGGUGUCACUCUGAGUCAAAGCAAAGGAUGUGCAGACAUGAAGUCUCCAUGCUCUCUCUUCUUCACCCCUUGUCUCAAGGUGUCAGAGGCACCAGCUUAUGAGGGAUGUUUGAUUGUCAGCACCUCCACUUUACAGAAGAGGACACCUGGGUAUGAUGAUAAGCUGCCCAAGGUCCCAUAUCUGGUGCUUCAUAAUCCUGGCAAAGCCACUAAGCUGAACAGAGCUGCAGAAAUUCCCUGGCUUUCCUUCCCGAAGAUGUCGAUCAAUGAGGGCUCUCGCGGCCUUUGAUGUCAGGCAUCCACGCCCGCUUCUGUAAAGACUUUCGGCUCCACAAGAGAACGGGAAGUCACUGUGAAGAAAGAGGCAGGCGAUGUAACCGGAAAAGCACAGGUUUGAUGUCAAACAGACCUGCGUGGUUCCACCGCUUUCCGACUGUGUGACACCUCCCUCCCCCACCCCCGGCCCAGUUGCUCUCUGAACCCAAGUCUUGGAAAAUGGAACCAAUAACACUUGUUCUUCAAGACUGUUUCUGCUGGAAGCUCCAAGAUUCAUCUGAAGGCGUGAUCACAUCCUCAAUGUUGAGUGGACCAUGAGCCGGCUGCCAGAGACAGGGUUCCAAGCCGGGCCAGGCCCAUCCCAAUGCCCACCCGAAAAGAAGGGACAGAGGAAAGAAAGAAACAAAAUCCUGGGGCUCCACUGGCUUUCUUUUUGACUCCAGCUGAAGUUGCUGCAUAGUGUGGCCUUGCCAGUCCUCGCCUUGAAAAGGCUGGAAGCGACUGCCGUGAUGGAUCAUCUAAUCCCACAGCCUCAUUUUGCAGAAGACCCCGCGCCUCGACUUGGCCAAGGUCACA
Molecule: long non-coding RNA, 1377 nt
Organism: Phacochoerus africanus (Common warthog)
Lineage: Eukaryota; Metazoa; Chordata; Mammalia; Artiodactyla; Suidae
Exons: 7
Source: RefSeq, a predicted model, not a curated record